UACGGAGGGGGCUAGCGUUGUUCGGAAUUACUGGGCGUAAAGGGCGCGUAGGCGGUCUUUUAAGUCUUGUGUGAAAUCCCUCGGCUCAACUGAGGAACUGCACGGGAUACUGGAAGACUUGAGUUCGGGAGAGGGAAGCGGAAUUCCGGGUGUAGCGGUGAAAUGCGUAGAUAUCCGGAGGAACACCGGUGGCGAAGGCGGCUUCCUGGACCGAUUACUGACGCUGAGGCGCGAAAGCUAGGGGAGCAAACGGG
This 254-nucleotide ribosomal RNA is filed under the name uncultured bacterium. RNAcentral's name for it is "partial 16S ribosomal RNA". It matches the Rfam family "Bacterial small subunit ribosomal RNA", at positions 524 to 776 of the family's 1533-position model. The record is from RNAcentral.